Small nuclear RNA from Cucurbita maxima (winter squash), 126 nucleotides. Lineage: Eukaryota; Viridiplantae; Streptophyta; Magnoliopsida; Cucurbitales; Cucurbitaceae. The record is from RefSeq and is a predicted model, not a curated record.
GUGUUCUAUUAAAGGAGAGAUGGUUGGCAUCUCCCCUGACAGGGUCGGAAACAGCCUUUUGGCUUCUCAGAUAACACAGACGGUUAAGGCUACCCCACCUCUCGUAGGUGGGUCUAACCCAAUUAC